CAGUCCCCCACAGUUGGCACCAAGGAUCCAGGACGSUUUAGGGUGGACAGGAGAGGUCCAGAGAGAAAGAGCGAGAGAAGGAUAAGGUUAGUUCUAUGAUAAGGAAGGAAGGAACAUCAGAUCCUUUCCUCCCCAAGUUCAACUUUAGAACCCUUUCCCAGGGGAUUAACGAGUGUGGAGAGAGAGAGAAACAAUAUGACAAGAAAAGGAACAUGAAAGAAAUCGUCAUUAAACGCACUUGAAGUUAUCUCUUCCUUCUUGCACCUCUAAUUUCAUCUGAAACCCACUCCAAGUUCCCCCAAGGACUUCUCUCUCUGUUUCAAGAGAGACAGAAUCAGAAGAGUCUAUUCCUCCUGAUUCCCACCCUAGUGGGAAUAAAAACAGGAUUCCACUCUUUCUUUCUGUUCCUCCUCUCAUCCCUCAUUCCCCUCCUCCUCUCCGUCAUGACGUUGCUGGCCUCUGAGAGGUCUCUUCUCAUCCGGAACAAAUUCCGCUCAGUCUUGCAGUUGAGGAUUCAGAACCGAAGGCAAAAUGAAAUCAACUCUGGGUUGAAAACGACUUGUUCCUCUCGRAAAGGAGAGAAAGACCAGAGUAAAGCUCUGGUAAGUAGCUCACUGUUUGUCUCAACAUAAAGAAGAGACUUGUCUCACUGUUUGUCUCAACAUAAAGAAGAGACUUGUUGUCUCACUGUUUGUCUCAACAUAAAGAAGAGACUUGUCUCA
Molecule: long non-coding RNA, 722 nt
Organism: Salvelinus sp. IW2-2015
Lineage: Eukaryota; Metazoa; Chordata; Actinopteri; Salmoniformes; Salmonidae
Source: RefSeq, a predicted model, not a curated record